AAACUAACAAGGAUUCCCCUAGUAACGGCGAGUGAAGCGGGAAGAGCUCAAAUUUGAAAUCUAGUAGCCUUCGGCUGCUCGAGUUGUAAUCUAGAGAAGUGUUUUCCGUGCCGGCCCAUGUACAAGUCCCUUGGAACAGGGCGUCAUAGAGGGUGAGAAUCCCGUCCUUGACAUGGACCCCCGGUGCUCUGUGAUACACUUUCAACGAGUCGAGUUGUUUGGGAAUGCAGCUCAAAAUGGGUGGUGAAUUCCAUCUAAAGCUAAAUAUUGGCGAGAGACCGAUAGCGAACAAGUACCGUGAGGGAAAGAUGAAAAGCACUUUGGAAAGAGAGUUAAACAGUACGUGAAAUUGUUGAAAGGGAAACGAUUGAAGUCAGUCAUGCUCUUUGGUAUUUAUAUCAUUGAGUGGGGUCAACAUCAGUUUUGAUCGAUGGAUAAAGGCACUAGGAAGGUAGCACUCUCGGGUGAACUUAUAGCCUGGCGUCAUAUACAUUGAUUGGGACUGAGGAACGCAGCAUGCCUUUAUGGCCGGGAUUCGUCCACGUACAUGCUUAGGAUGUUGACAUAAUGGCUUUAAACGACCCGUCU
This 588-nucleotide ribosomal RNA is filed under the name Naganishia liquefaciens. RNAcentral's name for it is "eukaryotic LSU rRNA". It matches the Rfam family "Eukaryotic large subunit ribosomal RNA", at positions 62 to 654 of the family's 3401-position model. Lineage: Eukaryota; Fungi; Basidiomycota; Tremellomycetes; Filobasidiales; Filobasidiaceae. The record is from RNAcentral.